CUCUAGCUUCGACUUGGUUUUCCAGGACUUAAGGACCUAGAAGAUGCGAGGAGCCGUGGUGCUGACAUUCUGCAGUCUUGCCACUGCAUACUUGAAUACCAACUGUCCAAAGGCACUAAAUGGUUGGCCUAAAAUACACCCACCCCCAAAUUUUAAACCAAAUCCAGCCCAAGGAGAUUUGCCACCUUAUCACACUCCAUCCCUACAAUCGCCCAUCAACAUCCGCUCCAGCAAAGCCGCCAAGGUCAAACUGCCACCCCUUAAGUUUGAGAACAUGCUAAACGAUGGUGUGCGAGUCAUUAUGAGAAAUACUGGGACAACGGUGCAAUUCGAAAUAGCGAAUGAAAGUGUGAUGGCACCCCGACUGGUUGGCGGGCCAUUAACUUGCCAUGGAGAGUAUGAGUUUUCCAAUCUGCAUGUACAUUGGGGAACGGAAGAUAAUCUUGGCGGCGAGCACGAAAUAAACGACAGAAGAUUUGCAAUCGAAGGUCACUGUGUACAUUUCAAAAAGAAAUAUCAAACAAUAGAAGAAGCAGAAAAGCACUCAGAUGGCUUGGCAGUAGUAGCAUUUUUUGCCAAAGCUGGAGACGUUGAUAACCCCAAGAUCGAUCGGUUGGUCGAGCUACUGCCCAGCAUCAGGUACCCCAACUCCUCGGUGACCCUGGCGGCCAGAGACAGUCUGGACUGGUUUGAUGAACUGGCGGAACCUUUCAACUACUUCACAUGCCCCGGUUCUCUCACCACGCCUCCCUACACCGAAAAUGUUUUCUGGAUCGUCUACCCUCGGCCUAUGUCCGUAUCAUCCAGACAGGUAACAAUACUCGCUCCUUAUGACUCACCUAACUCACUUGGGAUUCGUGUGUGGACGACCUGAACCCGAACUAUUCCUCUUUCUCUCUAGGCCUUUGUUAUAGACAUUUGAAUGUCCUAAGGUUAAAGCUUUCAGGAACCUGCUUUCAAACGAUCUCAUGGUCAACAGAGAAAACAUCAGACCAGUGCAGCCUUUCAACUCAAGACCCCUGAUAUACUCCGUUCCAAAGUUGCAGUAGCACAUCACGUUCUAAUAUUAAACUAAUAUUUUACUAUUAUUUAUAAUAAAUUGUUAUGUUUUCUAUUGUUAACAA
RNA transcript from Homalodisca vitripennis (glassy-winged sharpshooter), 1124 nucleotides. It is a transcript of the gene named carbonic anhydrase 2-like, with no coding region annotated. The transcript has 6 exons. The record is from RefSeq and is a predicted model, not a curated record. NCBI's taxonomy places the organism in Eukaryota, Metazoa, Arthropoda, Insecta, Hemiptera, Cicadellidae.